GUAGGUGGCAAGCGUUGUCCGGAAUUAUUGGGCGUAAAGCGCGCGCAGGCGGUUCUUUAAGUCUGAUGUGAAAGCCCACGGCUCAACCGUGGAGGGUCAUUGGAAACUGGGAGAACUUGAGUACAGAAGAGGAAAGCGGAAUUCCACGUGUAGCGGUGAAAUGCGUAGAGAUGUGGAGGAACACCAGUGGCGAAGGCGGCUUUCUGGUCUGUAACUGACGCUGAGGCGCGAAAGCGUGGGGAGCAAACAGGAUUAGAUACCCUGGUAGUCCACGCCGUAAACGAUGAGUGCUAAGUGUUAGGGGGUUUCCGCCCCCCUUAGUGCUGCAGCUAACGCAUUAAGCACUCCGCCUGGGAGUACGGCGCAAGGCUG
This 372-nucleotide ribosomal RNA is filed under the name uncultured organism. Its description in RNAcentral is "partial 16S ribosomal RNA". It matches the Rfam family "Bacterial small subunit ribosomal RNA", at positions 527 to 896 of the family's 1533-position model. The record is from RNAcentral.